UGGAGGACUGAGAAGGUAAGACAGUUUAACUCGAUGCUGUAUCUUACUGGUUACGGCCUCCGAAAUUAUAACAGUGCAACGGCAACUCAUGUUUCCCUCCUCACGUGAGGGAAAACGAUACUGCAUUUG
Molecule: small nucleolar RNA, 129 nt
Organism: Chrysolophus pictus (golden pheasant)
Lineage: Eukaryota; Metazoa; Chordata; Aves; Galliformes; Phasianidae
Product: small nucleolar RNA, H/ACA box 47
Source: Ensembl